CCGCCGGAGAACCACCUUUUUUCACCAAAUCGAAAAUUCGGAUCACCACCAUCACCUCUCCGGUCACCACCAUCACUUCUCCGGUCACCACCUCGUCUCCGCGGUCUAUAUCUACUUGAAAGCUUGAAAUUACGUUGCAUAAUGCCUAUCGAUAAAAGUUGGAUUGAUUCCCCACGUCAUUCACCUCACUACAAGCAAGGACUCGAGUCAUUUAUCGAGAUGUGUGAAAGAGUGAUAAAAAACC
Long non-coding RNA from Helianthus annuus (common sunflower), 244 nucleotides. RefSeq lists it as uncharacterized. Lineage: Eukaryota; Viridiplantae; Streptophyta; Magnoliopsida; Asterales; Asteraceae. The record is from RefSeq and is a predicted model, not a curated record. The transcript is spliced from 3 exons.